This is a long non-coding RNA of Polistes canadensis, 401 nucleotides long. RefSeq lists it as uncharacterized. The transcript is spliced from 3 exons. The record is from RefSeq and is a predicted model, not a curated record. Lineage: Eukaryota; Metazoa; Arthropoda; Insecta; Hymenoptera; Vespidae.
AACCUAGAGGUCUCAUUCUAAGGAAACAAACCAAUGCAACAGAUGCUCGUACUUUAGCCAAGUAUUCACGAGCUUCUGGUUGAUAAAUUAUCUUCUUUAUGUGUGAGAUAGAAGAUAGAAGAGAAGAAUAUUGAUAAAAAUAAUAUAAAGAUAAAUAUUACUAUUAUUUCAUAACGUCUUAUUGGAUUGCAUCGAAUACUUAUAUAUAUGCGUGCGUGCGUGCGCUCGUGCGUGAAUGACUCAUCCAUGGGGCCAAAAGGGGGACGAAACAUGCAUCACCAUGGGCAUUUUAACACAGAUGCCCCGUACGACGCGUGCCCUCGAACCAAUCCGACGCCCCUAUGCGUUGCUUCCGCAACGGCAACCACGUCUGCACGAGUCAUUUUCCCUACGACCCCCUC